GACAUAGGUGGCAAACGUUAUCCGGAAUUAUUGGGCGUAAAGGGUGCGUAGGUGGUUCAAUAAGUUACUGGUGGGAAAUCGGGGCUCAACCCCGUGGAAGUCAGUAAUACUAUUAAACUAGAGGAUCGGAGAGGUUAACGGAACUCCAUGUGUAGCGGUAAAAUGCAUAAAUAUAUGGAUGAACACCAAACAGCGAAGGCAGUUAACUAUUCGAUUCCUGACGUUGAGGCACGAAAGCGUGGGGAGCAAGACGG
RNAcentral lists this ribosomal RNA (254 nucleotides) under uncultured bacterium. RNAcentral describes it as "partial 16S ribosomal RNA". It matches the Rfam family "Bacterial small subunit ribosomal RNA", at positions 524 to 776 of the family's 1533-position model. The record is from RNAcentral.